This 431-nucleotide ribosomal RNA is filed under the name uncultured bacterium. Its description in RNAcentral is "bacterial SSU rRNA". It matches the Rfam family "Bacterial small subunit ribosomal RNA", at positions 917 to 1341 of the family's 1533-position model. The record is from RNAcentral.
GGGCUCACACAAGCGGUGGAGCAUGUGGAUUAAUUCGAAGCAACGCGAAGAACCUUACCUGGGUUUGACAUGUUUGGAUGCUCUCCUGGAAACAGGAGUAGGCUGCCUUCGGGUGAAACUUACACAGGUGCUGCAUGGCUGUCGUCAGCUCGUGCUGUGAAGUGUCGGGUUAAGUCCCUUAACGAGCGAAACCCCUAUCGUUAGUUGCCAGCGGGUUAUGCCGGGAACUCUAGCGAGACCGCCGGUGUCAAACCGGAGGAAGGUGGGGACGACGUCAAGUCAUCAUGGCCUUUAUGCCCAGGGAUUCGCACGUGCUACAAUGGUCCGUACAGAGCGACGCGAGAUCGUGAGAUGGAGCAAAUCGCAGAAAGCGGGCCUCAGUUCGGAUUGGAGUCUGCAACUCGACUCCAUGAAGUUGGAAUCGCUAGUAA